This 253-nucleotide ribosomal RNA is filed under the name uncultured bacterium. Its description in RNAcentral is "partial 16S ribosomal RNA". It matches the Rfam family "Bacterial small subunit ribosomal RNA", at positions 524 to 776 of the family's 1533-position model. The record is from RNAcentral.
UACGGAGGUCUCAAGCGUUGUUCGGAUUCAUUGGGCGUAAAGGGUGUGUAGGUGGCGCCGUAAGUCGGGUGUGAAAUUUCGGAGCUUAACUCCGAAACUGCAUUCGAUACUGCCGUGCUUGAGGACUGGAGAGGAGACUGGAAUUUACGGUGUAGCGGUGAAAUGCGUAGAUAUCGUAAGGAAGACCAGUGGCGAAGGCGGGUCUCUGGACAGUUCCUGACGCUGAGGCACGAAGGUCAGGGGAGCAAACGGG